UGACACCACGGAUGUAAAAACUCAACAAACUGGCUGGAAUACUGGAACUGGACUGAGAAAACCUCAGGACUUCAAAUGAUGCUUUUUCUCUUUUCUGGAACACAAGCCAGGCCUAGAAAAUCUGAAGAGCAAGGGAUUCUCUCUGUCCAGUGGAAGCUACCUAAAAGCUAAAAAAUACUUGCUUCAAGAAUUUCCUGUGAGUAUAAAAUGCAAUCCUUAAAAAACA
Molecule: long non-coding RNA, 226 nt
Organism: Cyanistes caeruleus (blue tit)
Lineage: Eukaryota; Metazoa; Chordata; Aves; Passeriformes; Paridae
Source: RefSeq, a predicted model, not a curated record